AACGAACGCUGGCGGCAUGCCUAACACAUGCAAGUCGAACGAAACCUUCGGGUCUAGUGGCGCCCGGGUGCGUAACGCGUGGGAACCUGCCCUUAGGUUCGGCAUAACUCCCCGACAGGGGUGCUAAUACCGGAUAAUAUCUUCGGCCCAAAGAUUUAUCGCCUUUGGAUGGGCCCGCGUUGGAUUAGCUAGUUGGUAGGGUAAAAGCCUAACAAGGCGACGAUCCAUAGCUGGUCUGAGAGGAUGAUCAGCCACACUGAGACUGAGACACGGCCCAGACUCCUACGGGAGGCAGCAGUGGGGAAUAUUGGACAACGGGCGAAAGCCUGAUCCAGCAAUGCCGCGUGAGUGAUGAAGGUCGUAGGGUUGUAAAGCGCUUUUACCCGGGAUGAUAAUGACAGUACCGGGAGAAUAAGCUCCGGCUAACUCCGUG
RNAcentral lists this ribosomal RNA (433 nucleotides) under uncultured bacterium. RNAcentral's name for it is "partial 16S ribosomal RNA". It matches the Rfam family "Bacterial small subunit ribosomal RNA", at positions 29 to 507 of the family's 1533-position model. The record is from RNAcentral.